CCUACGGGAGGCAGCAGUGAGGAAUAUUGGACAAUGGGUGAGAGCCUGAUCCAGCCAUCCCGCGUGCAGGAAGACGGCCUUAUGGGUUGUAAACUGCUUUUAUACAGGAAUAAACCAUCUUACGAGUAGGGUGUUGAAGGUACUGUAUGAAUAAGCACCGGCUAACUCCGUGCCAGCAGCCGCGGUAAU
This 189-nucleotide ribosomal RNA is filed under the name uncultured bacterium. Its description in RNAcentral is "partial 16S ribosomal RNA". It matches the Rfam family "Bacterial small subunit ribosomal RNA", at positions 338 to 524 of the family's 1533-position model. The record is from RNAcentral.